RNAcentral lists this ribosomal RNA (250 nucleotides) under uncultured bacterium. RNAcentral's name for it is "partial 16S ribosomal RNA". It matches the Rfam family "Bacterial small subunit ribosomal RNA", at positions 524 to 773 of the family's 1533-position model. The record is from RNAcentral.
UACAGAGAUGGCAAGCGUUGUUCGGAAUCACUGGGCAUAAAGGGCACGUAGGCGGUCCCGUAAGUCGGGUGUGAAAUCCCUCGGCUCAACCGAGGAACUGCGCCUGAUACUGCGGGGCUUGAGGGCAGGAGGGGAGAGUGGAACUCUUGGUGGAGCGGUGAAAUGCGUAGAUACUAAGAGGAACGCCGGUGGCGAAAGCGACUCUCUGGCCUGCUUCUGACGCUGAGGUGCGAAAGCUAGGGGAGCAAAC